RNAcentral lists this ribosomal RNA (362 nucleotides) under Eleutherodactylus amplinympha. RNAcentral's name for it is "partial 12S ribosomal RNA". It matches the Rfam family "Bacterial small subunit ribosomal RNA", at positions 871 to 1384 of the family's 1533-position model. The record is from RNAcentral. Lineage: Eukaryota; Metazoa; Chordata; Amphibia; Anura; Eleutherodactylidae.
GCCUGGGAACUACGAGCAAAGCUUAAAACCCAAAGGACUUGACGGUGCCCCAUAUCCCCCUAGAGGAGCCUGUCCUAUAAUCGAUGAUCCCCGUUGAACCUCACCACUUCUAGCUAAUCAGCCUGUAUACUUCCGUCGUAAGUUUACCACGUGAGCGAUAACUCAGUAAGUCCAAUGUCCUACACUUACUCCAUAAUCCCGACAAUACGUCAGGUCAAAGUGCAGCAAAUGAAGCGGGAAGAGAUUGGCUACACUUUUUAAUGUAAAAGAAAACGAAAGACAAUAAUGAAACUUUGUCCAAAGGCGGAUUUAGCAGUAAAAAGAAUUCAUAAUAUUCAUUUUAACUUGGCACUGGGGUGUGU